Non-coding RNA from Cherax quadricarinatus, 269 nucleotides. The record is from RefSeq and is a predicted model, not a curated record. Lineage: Eukaryota; Metazoa; Arthropoda; Malacostraca; Decapoda; Parastacidae.
AGAUUGGCAAAGAAAUAUAUUGGGAAGGCUCAGGUGUGGAUGAAGUAGCCAAGGAAAAGGGUACAGACAUUGUCCGAGUGACAAUCAACCCCAAGUACUAUCGCCCAGCUGAAGUGGAUGAGUCGAAGGUGCAAAAUAAACAAGAUGGACAGUCGGCACCACUUCAAACUCCUCCACUGCCUCCACCACUUCCUCAACCACUGCGAGUCCCUACUACCCUCCCUCUGACCCCCGCAACUGGCAGCCAGCCCUCCCACCACUCAGUGUGG